GCAGUGGUAGCUCAGGUUAGGACUUUGGACUUCUGAUCUGUAGUUCAUGAGUUCAAAUCCCAGCUGCCGCU
This is a non-coding RNA of Ameiurus melas (black bullhead), 71 nucleotides long. NCBI's taxonomy places the organism in Eukaryota, Metazoa, Chordata, Actinopteri, Siluriformes, Ictaluridae. The record is from the annotation of a GenBank genome assembly.